Molecule: ribosomal RNA, 464 nt
Filed under: Vreelandella stevensii
Lineage: Bacteria; Pseudomonadati; Pseudomonadota; Gammaproteobacteria; Oceanospirillales; Halomonadaceae
Description: partial 16S ribosomal RNA
Rfam family: Bacterial small subunit ribosomal RNA
Source: RNAcentral
CUACGGGGGGCUGCAGUGGGGAAUAUUGGACAAUGGGCGAAAGCCUGAUCCAGCCAUGCCGCGUGUGUGAAGAAGGCCUUCGGGUUGUAAAGCACUUUCAGUGGGGAAGAAAGCCUUGGGGCUAAUACCCUCGAGGAAGGACAUCACCCACAGAAGAAGCACCGGCUAACUCCGUGCCAGCAGCCGCGGUAAUACGGAGGGUGCGAGCGUUAAUCGGAAUUACUGGGCGUAAAGCGCGCGUAGGCGGUCUGAUAAGCCGGUUGUGAAAGCCCCGGGCUCAACCUGGGAACGGCAUCCGGAACUGUCAGGCUAGAGUGCAGGAGAGGAAGGUAGAAUUCCCGGUGUAGCAGUGAAAUGCGUAGAGAUCGGGAGGAAUACCAGUGGCGAAGGCGGCCUUCUGGACUGACACUGACGCUGAGGUGCGAAAGCGUGGGUAGCAAACAGGAUUAGAUACCCGUGUAGUC